Fundulus heteroclitus (mummichog) is the source of this 1321-nucleotide long non-coding RNA. RefSeq lists it as uncharacterized. The record is from RefSeq and is a predicted model, not a curated record. NCBI's taxonomy places the organism in Eukaryota, Metazoa, Chordata, Actinopteri, Cyprinodontiformes, Fundulidae. The transcript has 2 exons.
GCCGGGAAGUGCAAAACAAAAAUACAAAAUCUGAAACACUUUUACAAAUAUUGAAACAAAUUUACAUUUCAGAAAACAACUUUACAAAACACGAAACACUUUUACAAAACUUGAAACAAAUUUACAUUUCAGAAAACACAUUUACAAAAGACAAAAUGAAACGGAAAGGGAGGGACUGUCUUCGAAGUUUACCCAGAAGUGAUAACGGGAGCCUUCAUGAUUAACCAAGAUGGACGCCAAUCGAGUUGCGUUUUACCCGUUUUUCGGCACACAGAUGACCAGAUUAACGCGUUUUUGUUUUUCGUGUGGUCGGUCCUUGGAGUUUUUAAAUUCCACAGAACAGACGAAAGAACCAGAUAUGCUGCAGCAGUGCAUACAUUAUUUUAAUGAGGGUCACUCAUACGCUGUAAUCGUAAACAUGUCAUGCUUACACGGUAUACACGGUGUAAAUUUGAAGAAACCACCGAAGCGACCGUAUGCUUUUUGUUUUCAUUUUGUGGACAAAAGACCGACAGAUGACCCACGACGCCAGAAAAGUGGCUGGGCUACGAAGUUCCAUUAAAAACUAAAUCAAGGAGACAAAGAGGAAACAGAUGACAGCCGCUCUGAUGCAGAGGCUGACCAGAUCGCUCCAUAAUCAGAGUCACCUAUGAAGAAAUAUGCUGAUACUACAGGCACCGAAGGAUCACACCUAGGAGAAAAGAAGAAGAAGAAAAAUAUAUGUGGCAGGGAACACGCUGGCUUCCAGGAGUAUCUUCGUCUUGGCAAUGAAGUGACGGCAGACAGAAGCUUUACCGUUGAAGAUCUGCUGUUUGAGAGCAGAUUUAACCUUGUUCUACCCGUAUUCACUUAUAAAGGAGAACAGUCCUCUGAUGAGGAUGUAACUGCCACAAGGAUUGCAAAUGUCCACGUACAUGUGGAAAAAGUUAUCGGGAGGCUCAAAGUUUUCACAAUAAUCUCCCAGACUGUAACUAUCAACUUGGUUUAUAAAAUAGACCAAGUCUUUAGAAUCUGUGCAGCUCCUGUGAGCAUGCAGGGGGAAUCAUACGUGAGGAAGCAGAGAAGUUUACAUGUCAAAAAGAUCCUGAUUAGUUAUAUUCUACUGUAAACCAGAGGAAUUAUUAUACACAAGAAUGUGUUUUGAAUUUCUGCUUUUAAAUGUUUCUUUAUUUAGCACCUUGAGGUUUUACAUUUUGGAAUUACUUUUCAUUUUUAAUAACUUUAAUCAUUGUAUAUCCAUAUUUCCAGACUAUUUAAAUGUUUACUUAUACAAAAAUUGUGUCCAACUAACAUGUGUAUUAUUAAAUUUUGCAAUCCAUUU